This 253-nucleotide ribosomal RNA is filed under the name uncultured prokaryote. RNAcentral's name for it is "partial 16S ribosomal RNA". It matches the Rfam family "Bacterial small subunit ribosomal RNA", at positions 525 to 777 of the family's 1533-position model. The record is from RNAcentral.
ACAGAGGGUGCAAACGUUGUUCGGAAUUACUGGGCGUAAAGCGUGUGUAGGCGGCUCGAUAAGUCGGAUGUGAAAGCCCUGGGCUCAACCCAGGAAGUGCACUCGAUACUGUCGAGCUAGAGUAUCGGAGAGGUUGGUGGAAUUCUCGGUGUAGAGGUGAAAUUCGUAGAUAUCGAGAGGAACACCGGUGGCGAAGGCGGCCUUCUGGACAGUGACUGACGCUGAGACGCGAAAGCGUGGGGAGCAAACAGGA